GAUAGAUUACGGUUCUUUUGAAGACCCUGACCUGGAGUUACACUCUGACUUCGUUCCUUUGCGGGAAUGGGACCCGCUGUCGGGGCCUCACGACUGGCUGCUUUUUGAUAUCCCACGGACACGGCCUGGAAGGCAAGCACACUUUCAGGGUUCUGGAUUUUUGUGGCUCUGGAGACAUGCUGAUUCUAGACCGGUGUUCCUGACUGAGGUGUCGUGGGAGAACACGGAACAUCAGGAACAGCAGACCUCUACGUAGUUCCAGCCUCCAGUGAGAGGGAUUGCUAGCAAUGUCCUCCCACCUCUCGACGUUCAUGUUCAGUGACUUCAUGCCUGUGGUUUGUCGAAUUACCAGGUUACUAGCUCAAGCAGACUUACACUGACAGCAAACAGCUGUGGAACGAAGAUCGCUGAGUGUCUCAUCACAUCACUUGGUUCAUCCUGAGUAUGCCUCAGGUGUUUAGUCAUAAAG
This is a long non-coding RNA of Mobula hypostoma (lesser devil ray), 469 nucleotides long. RefSeq lists it as uncharacterized. The transcript has 4 exons. Lineage: Eukaryota; Metazoa; Chordata; Chondrichthyes; Myliobatiformes; Myliobatidae. The record is from RefSeq and is a predicted model, not a curated record.